RNAcentral lists this long non-coding RNA (1887 nucleotides) under Mytilus galloprovincialis (Mediterranean mussel). Lineage: Eukaryota; Metazoa; Mollusca; Bivalvia; Mytilida; Mytilidae. The record is from RNAcentral.
AUUUCGGUGUAUAACAAGUUUAAUAAUGAUAUAUAGUGACAUGUGUACAGUAAUAGGUUAUAUAUAUAGUGUAUAUAUCUUGUAUAAUAGUCCCAAAUAUAGACCUUCUAAAAAUUAAAUCUGACCAUUUUCCGUACGCUCGUCGUAUUGCGUGCGAGUACCAGAUGACAUGUUGUGAAGCAGCUAUACUAUUGAAGAUAAACUUCAACAACACACUUUUUUUCAUACAAGAUAUGUUUUUAGAACUGAAAGUCGCAUUUUGUUCUUAUGUUGAAAAGAAACCAACAAAUAUUUGUUUUAAAAAAUUCUGAAACUCUCCCCCUCCAUCUUUUUGUCCAUCUGAUGGGUUAAGCCUAUUUCAACUGAUUUUGGUAGUUCGUUCUUAUGUUGUACUGUUAUACCACUGUCCCAGAUAAGGGAAGGGUAGGGAUCCCGCCACAUUUUUUAUGUACAUGUAUGUGUCUGUCCCAAGUCAGGAGCCUGUAAUUCAGUAGUUGUCGUUUGUUUAUAUGUUACAUAUUUAUUUUUCGUUCAUUGUUUUUGUUAUAUGAAUAACUUACAUUUGUCGGUUUGUGGGUCAGGGGGAAGGAGGAAAGGAAGGACUGCAUGACUUCACCCUUGUCUAUCAUCUUUUUAAAAUGUUACAAUCAAAGAAAACUAGUUUCAAUCUAUAUUUCCAUAUGAAUCCUUAAAAGUUUGCAUAGACCAUGAUGACUCCAAGAUUUCGAAACAAAGCUGUGUGUCUUUCUUUUGGGCGCCUUUAAGUUAAUAUUUGCAGUAAAUAUGAUGACCAAAUUAUGUGCAUGUUAAAUAUGAUGAUUGCCUGAAUUUGUUUUUGUAUUUUUUAUUUCAACUUAUUUUUGUUGUAACGUUGCUGUCAUGUUCCAUUAUACAAAUACUUUUAUUCUUGGGUCAAGAUGAAGAUAUUGCAUUUUGUUUCAUGUACAGUGGCAAAUACUUGCAUGAUGAGAACAAGGUAUCAAUAGAUUAAAAAAAUGGAAAACAACGUUUAAUAAUUUAUUGCGUCCGAAGCCCUUUUCUGGAUUUACCUUCAUCAAGAACGCUCAUACUCAAACAUUUGAAAUCCGCAGAUGGACUGUCAUAACCGAAAAUCGUCGAAGAGCUAUACGUAGGUCCUUUAAUAGGGAUUGAUCGGGGAAAAGUAGAGGAAUUUCGACAACCACCAUCUGAAAAUGUGUGUAUAAGGAAUAAGGACAUAAUUUUUCUCCAUUGCAUCAGCAUGCAGUCCACACAUGUUCACAAAUUAACAAUAGUUGUUGCAAAAGUUCUUGACAUGCAGUAAGCGUGAAACUCUUCCUUCCCGAGGCCACUGACUCGUCCCUAUUGUAAUCAUAUCAUUGUAUUAUAUGAUUUACCAUUUAUUCAAUAGGGUCAUAUUAAGAUAAUAUUAUAUAAGUAUCUUCUUCUGAAAACGGUAGAGUUUAACUUCCCUGAAUAUCUUCCGGACUAUUUCCAAAGAGUCGUCGUCAUUAACAAAAUAAAAAGAAAGAUAUCUUCUAGGGUAUAUUUUUUGAAGUUCUAACCAAAACAUUAUUGCGUUUCUUAAAAUUUGUUAACCUUAUUAUGUGCCACAGCAGCUUUUCGGAUAAAUUGAUACAGGUAUGCACACAAUGAUUAAGAAGAAUAGCAUACUUUACCAAAAACGAAUAAAAUGAAAACAGGAAAUUGCCGAAGACAACAAUCUGACCAAAUAGCAGAAUAAAGACAACGAAUGUAUAUUAAUUCUUUGACCUGAACGCCACACUUAAAUCCGAAAGCAAAGCUAUUAUGUUUUUUCAGAUGCAUAUCAAUUAAAGUUAUUUUAAGGAAAUGUCUUUCAAUGCAAAAUUUUGAAUAUCAUUUUAUAUAUUUUUUUUAAACUGUCAC